RNAcentral lists this ribosomal RNA (1557 nucleotides) under Triticum aestivum (bread wheat). RNAcentral describes it as "partial small subunit ribosomal RNA". The record is from RNAcentral. Lineage: Eukaryota; Viridiplantae; Streptophyta; Magnoliopsida; Poales; Poaceae.
AUGGCUCUCGCGGCCGCCGCCGUUGCCGCCUCGCGCCCCUCCCCGACCGGCUUGCCCCGCCCGUUAUGCCGCGCCACCGUGCAUCCGUGCCGCCCUCGGCGGUUCCGGCUGGAGGCGAGCUUGUCGGCCUCCACGCCGGCGCCCGCGCCGGCGACAGCGGACGAGGGGGCCGCUGCGGGGACGUGCCCUGUGAUCAGGUUCGACAUGGCCGACUUCACUGUCGCCGACCGCGUCAGCGUCGGGCUCCACGGACGGUCCGAUGAGAUGAUCUUCGAGGCCACAGUGCGCGAUCCUAGCAGUGAGCUGUACGGGUCGACGGUGGUGUUGCGGCAGCUGACUAGCUCACAGGCGAAGCGGAGGGGCCGCCGCGCCCUAGAGGUUGGUAUUCUUGGGAAUGCUGUUGAUUUUCAUGACAAUGACCCCAGCAACAGUGCAGUAGCAAGUAACAAUGAGAGGCGGAAAAUGAUGAUAGCAUUUGACAUGAGAUGCGCGGGCUUCAUAAUGGCAAAGAUGGUUUUGAGAGAGCUCAUGGAUUCAUCGACAUUCCAAAAAUUCAAGUCAUUCUUGAAUAAGGGGAAUGAUCCAUCAUGUCUGCGUGAGUUCCUUUUACCGAUUCUAAGCCAAAAUUCUCCAUCUGGGAAUAUUGGUCUGCAGAUGCUAGAUAGGCACUGGGGUGCUGGCUGGAAUCUUUUGGCCUUAUUACUGGCAACAAAAUCUGACAAAAGGAUAAGUUGUGUCGAUGCACUGCGUCACCCCUUCCUUUGUGGACCUAAAUGGCGUAUAAGUCCAACAGUGAAUGUCGUACGCUGGGGCUUGGGCUCUACUGCUGUCCGCCUGGCUGAAGAUUAUAUUUAUGGGCAUCAUCAGCGUAGACGGUUAGCAUAUUUCAUUGAGUUGAUGGAGGUGCUAAACCCUAAUUCAAGUACAGAGAAUUGGCUUCGCCUCCUACCUGGUCGCUGGUGCCUCUUAUACUGCACCGGAAGGCACAUCGGCCUAACACUUCGUCAGCCUAUCCCCAGAGUCUUCAUCAGUGAUGCGUUCCUCACAUUCGCCGAAGCCCCAGAAUCUGUGAAUCCCAUUUUAUCUCUGACCUCAGAUAUUGGUUUCAAAAUCAUGCCGGAAUCCGACUGGCCCCACGACAAAUCUGGAACCGAAGGAAAUCUGUCAAUUACCACAUCGGCAAGGAUAACUCCUGGGAGGAUUUACACCAAUGCCGAGGAUGGUAAAGAGAGUAGUAGCAGGAUUACAUCUUCCAGAUAUCUUGGUGGUAAAUGGGGAAAAGCCGCAAAGAUGAAGGAGCUACCAGCCAGCCUCCCCACCGCUAGCGUUAACGUGGAUGAAGACGAAGUCGACGUGUCCAUGAGUUGCGGCUCAACUUUGAACGUCAAGUCUGCACGCAAUGUGCUGCAAGAGGUCCGUACGCAGACGCCACCGGAGAUGUUCGAUCUGUCAAAGAUUGUCUGCGGUACAUACAUUGAUUCAAGGUUGAUGGUUCUUCGCGGUGUUAAUGGGUCGGCUUUACUUUUCGUUAGAUCAAACCGUACGUCUGACCCAUGA